CAAAGCUGUAUCGACCAUUAAUUAUCACUUCUAUAAGAAGGAGUUUGUAAGUAACAUCUCUAGAAUAUAACUAGUAACUCUCCAUGACUUCUACAUGAACAAGUUUAAUUUCCUUUAUUAAAGAUAUAUUAAGGCACUUAGCAAAUUCUUCAUCUAAGAAAUACGUUAAGGCUCUUGAAUUUAAUAAGGUAGAGGCUUUGUAAUAUAUAGGUCCUAAAAUAAUAUUUAAUAUAAAAUAAAAAGAUGGUUUUGAGGAGAAAAUAAGACCUUCAUUAG
Molecule: long non-coding RNA, 276 nt
Filed under: Physcomitrium patens
Lineage: Eukaryota; Viridiplantae; Streptophyta; Bryopsida; Funariales; Funariaceae
Description: long non-coding RNA (PPAT_LNC008464)
Source: RNAcentral